UACGGGGGGGGCAAGCGUUGUUCGGAAUUACUGGGCGUAAAGGGCUCGUAGGUGGCCAACUAAGUCAGACGUGAAAUCCCUCGGCUUAACCGGGGAACUGCGUCUGAUACUGGAUGGCUUGAGUUCGGGAGAGGGAUGCGGAAUUCCAGGUGUAGCGGUGAAAUGCGUAGAUAUCAGGAGGAACACCGAUAGCGAAGGCAGCUCGCUGGGACGGUACUGACGCUGAGGCGCGAAAGCGUGGGGAGCGAACAGG
Molecule: ribosomal RNA, 253 nt
Filed under: uncultured bacterium
Lineage: Bacteria
Description: partial 16S ribosomal RNA
Rfam family: Bacterial small subunit ribosomal RNA
Source: RNAcentral